AUUGAACGCUAGCGGGAUGCUUUACACAUGCAAGUCGAAUGAGUGGCGGACGGGUGAGUAAUAUAUCGGAACGUGCCCAGUAGCGGGGGAUAACUACUCGAAAGAGUGUCUAAUACCGCAUACGAUUGGAGUGGCCGCUUUGGGAUUAGCUAGGUGGUGGGGUAAAGGCUCACCAAGGCAACGAUCCGUAGCUGGUUUUAGAGGACGACAAGCCAAACGGGGACUGAGAAACGGCCCAGACUCCUACGUGAGGCAGCAGUGGGGAAUUUUGGACAAUGGGGGAAACCCUGAUCCAGCCAUCCCGCGUGUAUGAGAAGGCCUUCGGGUUGUAAAGUACUUUUGGCAGAGAAGCGGUAUCUGCAGAAUAAGCACCGGCUAACUACGUGCCAGCAGCCGCGGUAAUAC
Molecule: ribosomal RNA, 405 nt
Filed under: uncultured bacterium
Lineage: Bacteria
Description: partial 16S ribosomal RNA
Rfam family: Bacterial small subunit ribosomal RNA
Source: RNAcentral